This is a long non-coding RNA of Anolis carolinensis (green anole), 346 nucleotides long. RefSeq lists it as uncharacterized. The transcript has 3 exons. Lineage: Eukaryota; Metazoa; Chordata; Lepidosauria; Squamata; Anolidae. The record is from RefSeq and is a predicted model, not a curated record.
CCACACUCAAGAUGGCUGCCCGGCAUUCCUCAACAAAAUGGAGGCUGCCUCACUCACUGUUACCAAGGCUUCAUUCUAGGCCUAAUAGAAACAACAAAUGUAGCACACAUAUACUUUGGUCAAAAGGCUUCCUCCUCACACAAGGACACAGACAAUAGAUUGAAGUUUGCAGGUAAAAAGUGGUUUAGUUUAUCCACAAGAUACUAUAUAGCGGCUAAAUCGUUCCGACAUGCUCCAAAGUUUGACUCAUAAAUGGAACCAACAAUUCAUGGAGCAGAAUGAGGAAGAGCAUAGAAGAAAUCAUCAUAAACUUAUCCCAUGACUACAAUCCUACAUGCUUCAGAGG